Molecule: non-coding RNA, 46 nt
Filed under: Trichobilharzia regenti
Lineage: Eukaryota; Metazoa; Platyhelminthes; Trematoda; Strigeidida; Schistosomatidae
Source: RNAcentral
GUACUGCUGAAGAGUCACAAAUUAGGACGAAACAGCUGUUCAGUAC